This is an RNA transcript of Stegostoma tigrinum, 5800 nucleotides long. It is a transcript of the gene named transducin beta like 3, with no coding region annotated. The transcript has 24 exons. Lineage: Eukaryota; Metazoa; Chordata; Chondrichthyes; Orectolobiformes; Stegostomatidae. The record is from RefSeq and is a predicted model, not a curated record.
GAGCGCGCCGGAAGUGCCCGGAGUGGAGCUGGGAACGUGCUGUGGCGGGGAGACGGAGGGGAAUGAGCCGGGACCAUGGCGGCCCCCUCUGUACGCUUCAAAACAAACUAUGCUGUUUCAAGCAAGAUUGAACCAUUUUACAAAGGAGGAAAAGUACAGAUCAAUAACGAUGGAACAUAUAUGUUCUGUACUUGUGGAACGAAGGUCAAUAUCAUUGAUAUCACAACAGGAAAGGUCAUAAAGAGUAUUGGACAGGAGGAUCAAGAAGAUAUUACCUGCUUCAGUAUCAGCCCGGAUGAUGAGAUAUUGGUGACAAGUAGCCGUGCCUUACUUCUAAAGCAGUGGGACUGGAAGGAGAGCACAUGCACGCGUACGUGGAAAGCUAUUCACACUAGUCCAGUGGCAAGCAUGGCUUUUGAUUCUACCUCAACAUUAUUGGCCACAGGAGGAUGUGACAGUACAAUCAAGAUUUGGGAUGUCAUCAAGCAAUACUGCACACAUAAUCUGAAGGGUUCCUCUGGAGUUGUUCACUUGGUUGAAUUUCAUCCCGACAUUUCACGCCUUCAGCUAUUUUCCUCUUCGAUGGACUAUAAGAUACGGCUCUGGAACCUGAACACCAGUAACUGUAUGAUGGUGCUGGACGCUCACUACAGCGCAGUGACUUCACUGGCAUUUACUUCAGACGGACAUACACUUGUCAGCUCCGGUCGUGAUAAAAUCUGUAUUGUAUGGGAUUUGAAGACAUACAGAUCAGAGAGAACAGUUCCUGUGUAUGAGACUGUGGAAGCUGUGGUGUUACUGCCAGAGAACGAGGAUUUCACUGCCUUGGGAGUGACAAGCAAAGAACCUCAUUUUAUCACAGCAGGCAGUAAAGGGAUCCUUCGAAUUUGGGAAGCUUACUCCGGAAGAUGUGUGUACUCACAGUGUGUGCCUGGAAAACCUAAGAAAGAUACUGAAGAUGACGCAGAUGAGCAAUCUCUGACCCAUUGCGCCAUUGUUCCAGCAACACACAAACUAACCACUGUAACUGCUGAACAUAACAUUCUCUCCUAUGACCUAUUCACUUUGAAACUUAUAUGCCAGUUUGUAGGUUAUAAUGAUGAAGUGCUGGAUGUGAAGUUUUUGGGUCCAUCUGACACACACAUUGUGGUGGCCACCAACAGCCCACAGCUGAAAGUAUUUGAGCUUGCAACGUUAAACUGUCAAAUCCUCAGUGGACACACAGAUACCAUAUUAGCCCUGGACGUGUUUAAGAAAGGCACCAAAUUUGCUAGUUGUUCAAAGGACAAAACCAUACGAAUCUGGAAAAUGAGUAAGAUAACUGGGGAAGUGAAUUGUGUGGCACAAGGUCUAGGACAUGCGCACAGCAUUGGUAUUAUUUCUUGUUCACGAUUGAAAGAAGGCUUCAUAAUUAGUGGGAGCCAGGACUGCACCCUUAAGCUGUGGAAUCUUAAAAAGUCGCUUGAAAUUAACAGUGAGAAAGCUGCAGAACCUGAAAUCUUACAUGCUGAUUUGACUGAAAAAGUUCACGACAAGGAUAUAAACAGUGUGGUAGUCUCUCCAAACGACAAGCUAGUGGCUACCGGCUCACAGGACAGAACUGCAAAACUUUGGUCCGCAUCUGAUUUCUCACUCAUCGGAGUGUUUCGAGGCCACAAGCGUGGAAUUUGGUCAGUCCAGUUUUCGCCGAUGGACCAGAUCCUAGCCACCUCUUCUGCAGAUGGCACUGUCAAACUCUGGGGACUUCAGGACUUCAACUGCUUAAAGACAUUUGAAGGCCAUGAUGCUUCUGUACUGAAAACCAUUUUUGUGAGUCGUGGAACUCAGCUGUUGACAAGUGGGUCUGAUGGGUUACUGAAACUAUGGACCAUCAAAACUAAUGAAUGUGUUAAAACAUUGGAUGCCCAUGAGGACAAGGUGUGGGGUCUCCACUGUAAUAAGAAAGAUGAUAUGGUUGUCACAGGAGCCACAGACUCUUGCAUAAUUAUCUGGAAGGAUGUGACAGAGAUAGAACUUGCUGAAGAGCAGGCCAAACAGGAGGACCAAAUUUUGAAGCAACAAGAAUUGUCUAAUUUAUUGCAUGAGAAGAAAUAUCUGAAGGCUUUGGGAUUGGCUGUUUCUUUGGACCAACCUCAGACGGUGCUUACGGUCAUUAAAGCGAUACUUGGUGAAUCUAAUGGACAUGAAAGGCUGGAAUCAACAAUACUUAAGUUGCGACAAGAUCAAAAAGAGUCUGUGUUAAAGUUCUGCAUCGUAUGGAACACCAAUUCUAAAAACUGUCACGAAGCUCAGUCUGUUGUCCAGAUUCUCCUACGAAAUGAAACUCCUGAACAACUUCUUCAAUUCAAUGGGAUUAAAGCUGCGUUAGAGGGAUUGAUCCCCUACACUGAGCGACAUUUCCAGAGGGUCAACAGACUGUUGCAGGCCUCAAUGUUUUUGGACUAUAUGUGGCAAAGUAUGAGGCUGACUGGAAAAUCCUGUGAGUCUGACAUACAAGUUGAAGACAUGGAGAUGGAGUCAAUUUUUUCAAUGGACAAAGCAGCGGUUGGGGCUGGGAAAGUGGAAAUUACUCCAGCAUCUGAUUGGCCCCAGGGGAACAAAAAGCAGGACGAUGCGAAAAGUAUGGAUACUGACAGUGAAAACAACGGAAAUUUCCACCAGCAAAAGCACUUGCUGCCACCUUGUGAGUACCUCAAAGAGAACUUGGAGCCCCCCUCAGAAAGUGGCAGUGAUUCAGAGGAUGACAGAAAAUCAGACAAUCAACCGGCAAAGACAUCUGUAAGAAAAAUAAAACAAAAGGCACCCAUUGUGAAAAAGAAGACAGAAUGUCUCAAAAGGAGCUGAUGCGGUCAGUGUGCCUGACAGGCUGUCAUCUUCAGGAUGUUCUGUGAAAUCCCUUUGUUACUAAUAUUUGUGAUCCCAGCCCAGUCAACCUUCCAUCCAUUGACUCCAUGUUGACUUCUCGCUGCCUUGGAAAGACAGAGAACAUCAUCAAAGAGAUAGCAAGAACUGCUGAUGCUGGAGUCACAGAUAACACAGUGUGGAGCUGGAGGAACACAGCAUGUCAGGCAGCAUCAGAGGAGCAGGAAAGUUGACGUUUUGGGUCGGGAAACAUCAUCAAAGACUCCUCUUGCCCUGGUUAUACGGUCUUCCAACCUCUUCUGUCGAGCGAAAGAUACAAAAGCUUAAACAUGCGUCCCGAUGGGUUUCAGAACAGCUUUUUCUCUCCUGUUGUUAGACGGCCGCAUGCACCCCUCAAAUUUCAAAUCUAACGUCGACCUAGCUUUCUGUGCACCUUCGCUGCCGCCAUGACUUUGUAUUUCUCACUCUGUUCAAAAACUCUUGUGAACUUGUAGUUGGCGCUCUGGAGAAAUUUCGCCUGCGCGGUUGCCAGGUACAGCUUUGAAUACCUCCAAGAGAUGCAAAAGAGCUGAGGUUUUGUGUACCUGUAGGGUGUUAGGCCCUUCAGCUGUAUGCUUAGACAACAGAAAAAGGAAAUUUGUGGAGCACAAUGCCAUGAGCUGAGCCUCAAGGACCUGAAUAAAUAUCAUUGUUUAAUAAUCACUCACAAGUGCACCAUCAGCUUCUAGUUUUCACACCCAUAAACACCAUGACAUUCUGUACUACUGAGACAUUUGGCAUUGCUGCAAGCCUCACACCCAUAUAUUUCUUAGCCAACACCCUGUACCUCAUGGUACAUUAGGCAAAUAUAUUGUACAACAGUGACACUUUGCAGAGCAGGUUUCUGCAUUGUGCAGGGUGUCGGUUAGCUCAGUUGGCUGGAUGGCUGCUUUGGUGAAGGACCUGCCCCCUUCAAUAUCUCCCCGUGCCUGAGACAUGGUGACAAUCAGGCUAAACAAACAACCUUUCUUAAAAAAAAUACUAAAAGAUCUGCAGAUGCUGGCAAUCAGGAACAAAAACAGAAGUUACUGGAAAAGCUCAGCAGGUCUGGCAGCAUCUGUGAAGAAAAAAAGUCAGAGUUAAUGUUUUAGGUCCAGUGACCCUACCUCGCCUGACCGGAAAUGUCAACUCUUAUUUUUUCCUUCACAGAUGCUGCCAGACCUGCUGAGCUUUUUCCAGUUGUGUUUCUUUCUGGUUCUGAGACUGGCUCUAAUGAAAUGAGGGGUGCGUAAGGUUCCAAUUGAUCGAUUGUGAUGGGGGCACUUUCGUCAGAGGCACAGAUAGAUGUUUCUGCAGCUGACAGAGAGAGAUCAGAAUAGUGUGUUGUCUCUCUGGUGACAGGAUCAAGAGUAUUUCAGAGAGGGUGCAGAAUAUUCUCAAAAGGGAGAGAAACCAGCAGAAGGCCAUUGUAUACACUGUAACUAACAACGCAGGAAGAGAAAAGGAUGAGAUUAGAUUAGAUUCCCUACAGUGUGGAAACAGGCCCUUCAGCCCAAUGAGUCCACACCGCCCCUUGAAGCAUCCCACCCAGACCCAUCCCCCCUAUAAGCCACACACCCCUGAACACUACGGGCAAUUUAGCACGGCCAGUCCGUCUAGCCUGCACACCUUUGGGCUGUGGGAGGAAACCAAAGCACCCGGAAGAAACCCACGCAGACACAGGGAGAAUGUAUAAUCUCCACACGGACAGUUACCCGAGGCUGGAAUCAAACCCUGGUCCCUGGCUCUGUGAGACUGCAGUGCUAACCACUGAACCACCGUGCUGCCCCUAAAAGGAUGAGAUUCGGAGGAGAGAAUAUAGGGAGUUAGGUAAGGAUUUAAAAAGGAGGCCACCAAGGUUAGUAGUAUUUGAAUUGCUCCUGGUGCCACACACUAGUGAGGAUAGGCUAGGGGGAUAGGGCAGAUGAAUGUGUGGCUGAGGAGCUGGUGCAGGGGAGAAGGAUUCACAUUUUUGGAUCAUUGGAAUCUCUUCUGGGGUGGAAGUGAUCUGUGUAAGAAGGAUGGAUUGCACCUGAGUUGGAAGUAUACUAAUAUGCUGGCAGGAAGAUUUGCUAGAGCUGCUUGUGAGCAUUUAAGCUAGUAAGAGGGGUGGAGGAGGUGAAGGUAGGACCCAACAAAAUAGUGAGGAAAGAGAGAUCAAUCUGAGACUGAUACAGUUGGGAAAAGGAGUAAGUCAAACAAUCAGGGCAAGCAGGAGCCUUGUCUAAAAUCUACUUGAUUGCUUCCUACCUCACACAAGUGCCACAGUUUUAAGUACAUUCUUAUACAUCAUAGGACAAGUGAAAGGGUAAAAAUAGACAGAGUAGAUUUCCUGGUAAUCAUGAGUACAUACCAACAUUUUGGUAAUAUAAUCUAAUGUACUGGCAUGAAUAUGGUUGGAUAAUAUAGCAAUGAGUAUGUAGAACAUGUGACACAGUUGGAUAGAUAUAUGGAUGAAUAAAUGUGUAACAUUUUGAUCAGAAAUUAUUAUCUAUUAAAAUAGUUGAAUGGAAAACUCAUAUCAAAAGAAAACCUUGUUUCUCAUCAUGAAGAUUUGAGCUGCACACCAUUUUUGAUUGCACCAUGUGUGUACAAUAAAUGCUUAAACAAAGAAGCUUGGAUUUUGUCCAACCUAAAGAGGGAGUAAAGGGUUAGACUCGUUCUUCCAGCUAACAUCCAAAUACAAUUAUUGCAAAUGAUUAAUGCUUGUAUCUAUUUUGACUCUGAUUCUAGUGGUUCCAGCUCUCUUGAAAAAUCUGAAUUUCUGUUGCAUUUAAGUGUUUCUGCAUUUUACUGUACAGCAUGUCAUCAUUGUGAAAUGUUAUUGAUUUCUGUGGAACUGUAUCUUAUUUACCUGAAUAUAAAGGACUUAUUAUAUUCCAAAAUUGACGCAGAUAAGUUUGGGAUAAUAAUUAACUGG